Molecule: non-coding RNA, 131 nt
Organism: Caenorhabditis elegans
Lineage: Eukaryota; Metazoa; Nematoda; Chromadorea; Rhabditida; Rhabditidae
Source: Ensembl
UUCCAGUUUCGUUCAUCAUCAUCAUCAGCUAAUCACUAGAUAAAAUAUAAUGAUAAAUGAAGAGACGCAGGUGCACGUCAGCUAAUCACAUCCUUUUCUCCUUUUCUGAUGCUUUUGCCAUUUCGAAUAGU